RNAcentral lists this ribosomal RNA (468 nucleotides) under uncultured bacterium. RNAcentral's name for it is "partial 16S ribosomal RNA". It matches the Rfam family "Bacterial small subunit ribosomal RNA", at positions 28 to 507 of the family's 1533-position model. The record is from RNAcentral.
GACGAACGCUGGCGGCGUGCUUAACACAUGCAAGUCGAACGGAAAGGCCCUGCUUUUGUGGGGUGCUCGAGUGGCGAACGGGUGAGUAACACGUGAGUAACCUGCCCUUGACUUUGGGAUAACUUCAGGAAACUGGGGCUAAUACCGGAUAGGAGCUCCUGCUGCAUGGUGGGGGUUGGUAAGUUUCGGCGGUUGGGGAUGGACUCGCGGCUUAUCAGCUUGUUGGUGGGGUAGUGGCUUACCAAGGCUUUGACGGGUAGCCGGCCUGAGAGGGUGACCGGCCACAUUGGGACUGAGAUACGGCCCAGACUCCAACGGGAGGCAGCAGAGGGGAAUAUUGCACAAUGGGCGGAAGCCUGAUGCAGCAACGCAGCGUGCGGGAUGACGGCCUUCGGGUUGUAAACCGCUUUCGCCUGUGACGAAGCGUGAGUGACGGUAAUGGGUAAAGAAGCACCGGCUAACUACGUG